Long non-coding RNA from Eriocheir sinensis (Chinese mitten crab), 2226 nucleotides. RefSeq lists it as uncharacterized. NCBI's taxonomy places the organism in Eukaryota, Metazoa, Arthropoda, Malacostraca, Decapoda, Varunidae. The record is from RefSeq and is a predicted model, not a curated record. The transcript is spliced from 4 exons.
GGGUCAGGUGUUUAAGCCCCAGGCGGCGGAUGCUCAAACGGUCGUAUCUCAACAUUUGGUCCUAAAUCCGCCAUUGUGGUCGCAAGUGCUGCCCCGUGCGAUGUUCAAAAAACGUCCUAGACGCCAUCUUGUGACGUCAGGUCGCCCCUCAGCCUGACUGCUCGGGAGCGGGGCUAGAUCCGACCAGUUUCCGUCCUAGCCCGUCGCCAUUAAAGGAGUGUUUCCGCCUCAUCCACAUCUCCACCUCUAUACACAAUAUAAGAUGGAGCUUGUUGCGGCAUACAUUUUCAAUCGCAGACUGUGCAGGGAAAGGAGAUAUCGGGACCCACUCAACCCACUACAUGUCAGUGAUGAACACCUGUUGCAGGUGUAUAGAUUUCCCCGUCAGGAAAUCAUCAGGCUCUGUGAUGAGUUUCGCCCCCACCUGGAAAGGCGAACCAGGAGGGCACACGCACUCCCAACACACACCCAGGAGACACUGCGUAUCCUCUGGAGCCAUUCCUGAUGACCCCAGUUGCACGGCCGACAACACCUGGGGAGGAGCGCUACAACAAGUCAUCACAGGACAAGAUGCGUUGUCGAACGGACCUUUGGGAUCCUCAAGUCAAGGUGCAGGUGCCUACAUAAGUCAGGAGGAAGUUUGCAGUAUGACCCCAAGAAGACUAUGAAGAUUGCGACUUCUUGUAUGCUCCUGCACAACUACUGAGUGGAUCGCUGCAGAAGAAGUAACAGUUCAGCCUGUGAGAAACAACAGACUGAUUCCUGGUCAAGUUGUCAGGCAGGAAUUUAUUAGAAACUUCUUUUCCUGAGUAUAGAUUGCAUAUGGUGCACCGGUGGCCGAGUGGUCAGCGUGUGUACGUGGUGAUCCAGAGGACUCUACUCCCACCGCAAGACGCUGAGAGUUUUCAACCAUUGACAAGUGGUGGAGGGUUACCAACAUGCUGCCCAGCAGAUCUUCAGUCAACCCUAACUUCAGCGUCUUUGUUCAAGAGGGGCACCACCUCCACACCACUCAUUCUUAUCACCUAGUUUGAUACCCUACUUGUCCAUCUCACAUGCCCCAUGUAUCUCAGCAUUCUGCACUCUUGGCUCCAUGUCAUCCUCUCCAACUUGUUGGUUCGUAUAGCAUAACCGGCCUCACAUACAUAGAAGUGUUCAAUAUACCUAGGCUAUAAUAUUAUAUUUAAGGACUCUUAUACGAGGUAUCGCCCCAGACAGAGGUGUCGAAGUAAGUCUGUCUGAUGGUAGGCUGGCUGACUGCUGUCGGGACCCAAGCCAGCAUGCCCUGGGGGUUGUGUGCGGGAGGAGGAAAGAGGGAAAAGGACAAAUGGUGUGUGUGUCAUUAUCAGGGGUAACCACGGUGGAGUGCAAACACUCAGUAGUUGUAGUCAAGGCUUAAUUAAGUUGAUGAGUGGUGUUAGACUGAAUGAGCAGGUUUUUUACCACAUGUUAGUGGGAACACUUGAUAGGUUUUGUUUGUGUGUUGGUGCUACUUGUUUCUUGUGUUUACAUGUUAGUUUAUAAUUAGACUGAGUUCUAAGUGUUAUGAGCGACAAUUUAGUCUUGUAUGGCUGAAUCCUGUCCCUUGACCCUUAAUUCAUCAUCAGAAUCUUUAAACAAAUAUAUUUACCUUAAGUAAUAUUCUUCAAGUCACGCUGCCCAUAUUAUUUGGCAGAUGAUAACCCUGUAUGCGAUAACGGUGCCUUAUAAGACUUCGUAAAUAAACUACUAAUUUUACUCUCUGGUUUAAGUGAUCAACAAUUAAUUCUACUUUGAGGUAUAAUUAACCAACAUUAUUAAGGAGUGCCCAUGCCAGGCACGACAUUAAGAAUAUUUUUCUGUUGACCAGCAGACUUACUAUAGUCAAACCAUUUCAAAAUGUCUGUUGAGGCAGUGGCUUCUGCAGGUCCUUUCCUCCCUUCUGCUUUGCCACACAGUUCCAAUUACCUAUUUCCUCUGUUUCCUGUCCCCUCUUUCACAAACUGGGCACCUGUAAUGCACCCCUACUUGAUUUACAUUUCUCAGCCCUGAGCAUCUCUUUGUGGCACCACUUAACACUCCCUGUGCACAGGGCAGAGUUAGUAGCCAUUUCUCUUCCACACCAACUACCUUCCUGUAUAUAUGAUUUCUCAGUAAUUACUUAUUUGUUGUGCUGUAUUAGCUGUUACGUGCUACAUCAAGCUGUAAUAUCUACCCAAGCUGCGGGUUAAUUCAAUAAAAAAAAAA